UUCGCAAUGCCCGAAAGGGUGACGAAGCGACGCCGCGUGUGGGAAGAAGGCCUUCGGGUUGUAAACCACUGUCGGGAGUUAAGAAAUGUAAGGGUGUUAAUAGCAUUCUUACCUGACGUUAGCUCCGGAGGAAGCCACGGCUAACUCUGUGCCAGCAGCCGCGGUAAUACAGAGGUGGCAAGCGUUGUUCGGAAUUAUUGGGCGUAAAGAGCACGUAGGCGGCCCUGCAAGUCAGCUGUGAAAUCCUUCUGCUCAACGGAAGAACGGCAGUUGAUACUACAGGGCUCGAGUGCGGGAGGGGAGAGUGGAACUUCUGGUGGAGCGGUGAAAUGCGUAGAUAUCAGAAGGAACAUCGGCGGCGAAAGCGACUCUCUGGCCCGUAACUGACGCUGAGGUGCGAAAGCUAGGGGAGCAAACGGGAUUAGAUACCCCGGUAGUCCUAGCCGUAAACGAUGGGCACUAAGUAGAGGGGUU
RNAcentral lists this ribosomal RNA (474 nucleotides) under uncultured bacterium. RNAcentral's name for it is "bacterial SSU rRNA". It matches the Rfam family "Bacterial small subunit ribosomal RNA", at positions 365 to 830 of the family's 1533-position model. The record is from RNAcentral.